GGAACAUAAGGGCUAGCUAAGGUAUAUUGAGCAGUGCUGGAGGCUCUACAGUGAAAUAAGGCAAGAAUUACUAACCAAAACAGCAAUAGAAAAGGCAUAUUGACAUUAGGGAGAGGAAUGUGUAGCUGAGUGAUCAUAGGGUCCAGUGAGUAGCUAUGUGAGCUGGAGGCACAGAGAUUCAGACAGCUAUUUAUUUAUUUUACCUUUAUUUAACUAGGCAAGUUAGUUAAGAACAAAUUCUUAUUUUCAAUGAUGGCCUAGGAACAAUGGGUUAACUGCCUUGUUCAGGGGGAGAACAACAGAUUUUUUACCUUGUCAGCUCAGGGAUUCGAUCUUGCAACCUUUCAUGUACAAGUCCAACGCUCUAACCACUAGGCUACCUGCCACCCCAGCUAGCAGGCCAGGUCUAGCAGCAGGCUAGCAGAUGGGCCUCAGGGGGACGUCGCAACAAGAGUCUGUUGAAACCCCCUCGGGCGGUUACAUCGGCAGACCAGUUGUGAUAAAUCGGCAGGGCUCCGUGUUGGCAGCAAAGUGUCCAGGCCAAUUGCAGAAGAGGUAUUGAAGCCCAGGAAUUAUCUGAUGGAAUUCUUUGGCUAGCCGGGAGAAGGGCCUAGCUCGAGGCUAGCUCCAGGCUAACUGGUGCUUGCUUCAGGACAGAAAACCCUUUUGGAUGGUCACGUCGGUAGACCAGUCGUGAUGGAUCGGUGAGGGUCCAGGCCAAUUGGCAAAAGAGGUAAUUGAAGCCCAGGGAUUGCUUGAUGGAAUCCCUUUAGCUAGCCGGGAGAUGGGCAUAGUUCGAGGCUAGCUCCAGGCUAACUACUAGCUAGUAGCUAGUUAGCUGGCUAGCUUCAGAAGGGGGGUCCGGUUCAAAAGUGUAAAAAUAGCAGAUCCAUACCACAUUGGGUGAGGCGGGUUGCAGGAGAGUAUGUUUAGUCUGUAGAUGGAAAAUGAGAUAAAAAAAAAUAUACGAAAUAUAAAAGAAAAACCAUAUAUACAGGGAUGGGACAAGACAAUCAAAAUAGACAUCCCCACUGCUAUGCCAUCUUGGAUUAGGACACUUUAAGAAGAGGGCCAUGUUCCAACUGCCAGAUCUACUUCUGCUCCCCAAUGUCCAGAGCGAUCACAAAACUACCACAAUUGAUUUGAAUGAUUUAUUACAAUAGGGAUUUGUUCUUGGUUAGUUCCUGGGAUUGCUGUUAUGUGUGUUCAAGUUGAACUGAUGUUGAGGAGUAUGGGGGCUCUUUCAGGUUUGUGUGGGAGAGAGGAAGGAAGGGAGAGAAGGAUGCAAGAGUCAGGACCAGACCUGAGACAGCCGGCCAGCCAGUCAGCCAGAGCUUUACAGGGUUGAGGCAGUGACAUGUGUGUCAGGUCCACCAGGCAGGCUGGGGGUGGUGUCUGGGGGGGUUACAGCAUGAGUGUGGUGGGGUAGCUGGCUCUGGAAACAGACUCUAAUAACAUGUUUCCAUGUGUCACUUCAGUGGAGGUGAGACAAGGGCCAGGACAUAGCAGAGGAGCCGUUUCCAUGUUUGUGCCUGCCAGCUUGGGUUAGACCCUCAGGAGUCUGAGUAGCGCUGGUUGGGGCUGUUUUGGGAUGUCAAGCCUCCGAGGGUUUUAGCCUAACCUAAUUUAGUUACCACUGCAGAAUUGGCUGGACAAUCUGUCAGUCAGAGUGGCCUGAAAUAACCUCUGGACCCCUUCCCUCUCUAUUGAGUGGCUGUGAUGGCCAGGCUUACCUCUCCACUGCCCAGAAUUACGUGACUGUGGACUAGCACAUUAGCAAGGGAGAGUUUAGAGAGAUCUGAUUACAGCUCAAAAUGGAUUUUGGCGUUGUGUAGAACUGGAAAAGUGUGAAACAUCUCAUGAUGUAAGUUGCGUUACUGUGAGUUUGUCUGAUAUUGUGGUUUUGAGGAGAUUUCAGUGAUGAGCUAUGACUCAGGUAUGCAGUUGUGAUACUCCUCGAUUGCUCACCUACUUGAACUCUCGCCCACUGCCAAGGCACAGGAAUUAACCCCCACCCUGAAGGCACAGGAAUUAACACCCACCCUGGAAGCACAGGAAUUAACACCCACCCUGAAGGCACAGAAAUUAACACCCUCCCUGGAGGCACAGGAAUUAACACCCGCCCUGAAGGCACAGGAAUUAACACCCACCCUGGAGACACAGGAAUUAACACCCUCCCUGAAGGCACAGGAAUUAACACCCACCAUGAAGGCACAGGAAUUAACACCCACCCUGAAUGGUACAGGAAUUAACCCCCACCCUGAAGGCACAGGAAUUAACCCCCACCCUGAAGGCACAGGAAUUAACACCCACCCUGAAUGGUACAGUAAUGAACACCCACCCUGAAUGGUACAGGAAUUAACACCCACCCUGAUGGUACAGGAAUUAACACCAACGAAGGCACGGAAAUUUACACCCACCCUGAAGCACAGGAAUUAACACCCACCCUGAAGGCACUGGAAUUAACACCCACCCUGAAUGGUACAGGAAUUAACACCCACCCUGAAGGCACUGGAAUUAACACCCACCCUGAAUGGUACAGGAAUUAACACCCACCCUGAAUGGUACAGGAAUGAACACCAACGAAGGCACGGGAAUUAACACCUACCCUGAAAGCACAGGAAAUAACACCCACCCUGAAGCACAGGAAUUAACACCUUCCCUGACUCUUGUAACCCUGGGAGUUCAUAGUGUUAUAAUGGGUCCUUCAAUGGGUUAUGAGGCAUGGAGCUACAGUAUAUCUGUCUCUGCUAUGAGAAAUAUAUAGUUUUCCUCCUGUGUGUGGCUUAGUUGAUGCUUUAUCACUCUCUACUUAUUAAGGUACAAGGCGAGACCCAAAUGCGGACACAGGAGACAGAUGGUUGGAGUCUUACAAUGUUUGUUAAUCCAAAGGGGUAGGCAAGAGAAUGGUCAUGGACAGGCAAAAAGGUCAAAACCAGAUGAGAGUCUAGGAGGUACAGAGUGGCAGACAGGCUCGUGUUCAAGGCAGGCAGAAUGGUCAGGCCGGCGGGUACAAAGUCCAGAAACAGGCAAGGGUCAAAACAGGGAGGACUAGAAGAAAGAGAAUGCAAAAAGCUGGAGAACGGGAAAAAUGUUGGUUGACUUGGAAACGUACAAGACGAACUGGCACAGAGAGACAGGAAACACAGGGAUAAAUACACAGGGGAAAAUAAGCGACACCUGGAGGGGGUGGAGACAAUAACAGGAACAGGUGAAACAGAUCAGGGCGUGACACUACUUAGAUAAGACGGAGCUACUGAUGGGAACCUUCUAUGAUGUAAUGCUAUGAUGUAAUAGCCCAUACAAACGCAUUGAAUAACAGAUUCACUACAUGGAACAACAGAUAGUCCUUGAACAAAAAUCCGAAUGAAGAUUGUUCUGUGAGAUAUAAUAAAAGGAAACAGGAAACAUAAAUAUUUAUUUUUUACUUGUGUUCAACCUCUUAUUUUUGGCACUCAGUCUCCAUAUAUGCAGUGCAUGCUGUCACCCCCAUGCUUCCCCGUAGGGAUGGUCACUGGUUUUCUCCAGAUGUGACGCUUGGCAUUCAGGCCAAAGAGUUUAAUCUUGGUUUUAUCAGACCAGAGAAUCUUGUUUCUCAUGGUCUGAGAGUCCUUUAGAUGCCUUUUGGCAAACUGUCUGGCCACUCUCCCAUAAAAGCCUGAUUGGUGGAGUGCUGCAGAGAUGGUUGUCCUUCUGGAAGAUUCUCCCAUCUCCACAGAGGAACUCUGGAGCUCCCUGACCAAGGCCCUUCUCCCCCGAUUGCUCAGUUUGGCUGGGAGUCCAGCUCUAGGAAGAGUCUUGGUGGUUCCGAACUUCUUCCAUUUAAGAGUGAUGGAGGCCGCUCUGUUCUUGGGGACCUUCAAUGCUGCAGACAUUUUUUGGUACCCUUCCCCAGAUCUGUGCCUCGACACAAUCCUGUCUUGGAGAUUUUCGGACAAUUCCUUCGACCUCAUGGCUUGGUUUUUGCUCUGACAUGCAUUGUCAACUGUGGGACCUUAUAUAGACAGGUGUAGAAACAUCUCAAGGAUCAGUGGUAACAGGAUGCACCUGAACUCAUUUUCGAGUCACGUAGCAAAGGGUCUUAAUACUCAUGUAAAUAAAGUGUUUCUGUUUUUUUGUUUUAUAAAUUUGCAAAAAUGUCUACAAAACAGUUUUCGCUUUGCCAUUAUGGGGUACUAUGUGUAGAUUGAUGAUGGACAAAAAAAAAUGUCAUAAACUUUAGAAUGUGUAAUGUAACAAAAUGUGGAAAAAGCCAAGGGGUCUGAAUACUUUCCUAAUGCACUGUACUUUCAUGAAUUUUUUUAACUGGUACCGGGGACCUUCAGACGAGUCUUGUGAGGCCUGUGGGCGUCAUAUUAAAACAACCGACAUGUACGUGUUCGUGAGAGUCUCACCUUUCCACAGAGGGGACAUAUUAGUUUGUAGGCAAAACUGUUUGGAUGCUAGAGGCGAUUUUGUGAGAAGACCAAUUUUCGUGAUGUCUCAUGGUCUGACAAACACCGCUCAAACUCUGUCAUUUUACACCACAGAUGCGGAAGUACGACAUGCGGUGGAUUAAGACGCAUCCGAUGCAAAACAUAAUAUAUCUCUGUCUUAAACUGACAGAUUUUUAUGGUGAUUUUUUUAUUAUGCUAAUUAGAUUUCCAUGGUGGAGAAGAAAUUGACUAUAGGGCACCUAUAGUCACCUAUGAAUUACUGCAGUAACUGUAAGCUGUAAGCUGUUGAAGCACCCACAUGAUGACAGAUGAUUAAUAGCCACAAGGUCGAGGUUAAAGCAGAACCAUUUUAAUUAACCCAGGCCGGCCACCAACAACAUGGUGAAACAUGGAUGAAAUAAAUGCAGAACGAGGGAUGAAGUCAUAUUAUUGUACAAGCCAUCUAGGAAAUGUCCUAUAACAGAAAACAUCAAUCAACAUUCAGAUGGGGAGUGGAGAGGGGAGACCCAGGGAACAUGAGGAGUGGAGAGGAGACUUAGAGGGACAUGGGGAGACUUGGGGAGUGGAGAGAACCUGUCCAGACUGGUCCGGCUGGCUCCUGCCCUGAACCAGACUAAAAAGGAAGGUACUCCCGAGUGUAGGUUACCUCCCUCCUUUUGUUGGUGUUUUCUUCCCCUAAGGAGGAAUGGUACCAGGCUGGGUGUGGAGCUGAGAGGCUCUCAGGGUACUGCAGCUUGGAGGCUGCACGCCUCUUACCUGCGCCAAGCAACGUUUUGGGUUUCUGGUGUGGAGAAUCUGCAAUGGCAUCCUAUGUGACUUAGCAGUGACUUCCUAAUUUGUGAUAGGCUAGGUUUCAAUUGUGUGUUAAAAAUACACCAAUGCCACAUGCAUGUAAUCAUCAGGUUCUCAGAAUCUGAUGAAGACUUUGGCUAGAGGGAGGGGCUCCGAAAUUAUUGACCAGGAUAAUUAUAUAAUUUUAUAUCAAUAGAAAUGCUCAGAGAAAUAAAUUUUGUUUAACAAGUAAUAUUUUUUUUCUAAAUAAGGUAGGGGUCAAAAUGAUUGACAAUCCUGAAGAUUUGUAUAAAUAAAGUAGUCAAACGUUUCGUAUUUGGUCCUAUAUUCCUAGCUUGAAAUGACU
Molecule: long non-coding RNA, 5574 nt
Filed under: Salmo salar (Atlantic salmon)
Lineage: Eukaryota; Metazoa; Chordata; Actinopteri; Salmoniformes; Salmonidae
Description: lncRNA (ENSSSAG00000115371.1)
Source: RNAcentral